GUUUUGGAGUCCUAUAGUAUGUUUAUGAUACUGGAAUCAUAGGCAAAAUGUUUUUCAAUAAAUUUUUUCAAACUUCUGUUUUCGGCCAAGCAUGGUGGCUCACGUCUGUAAUUCCAGCACUUUGGGAGGCCGAGAUGGGUGGAUCACUUGAAGUCAGGAGUUCAAGACCAGCCUGGUCAAUAUGGCGAAACCCCCGUCUCUACUAAAAAUACAAGAAUUAGCCAGGUAUGGGGGGUGCACGCCUGUAAUCCCAGCUACUUGGUAGGCUAAGGCAGGAUAAUCCCUUGAACCCUAGAGGCAGAAGCUGCAGUGAGCCCAGAUCGUGCCACUGCACUCCAGCCUGGGCAACAGAGUGAGACUCCAUCCCAAAAAAAGAAAAAAUCUCAUGUUUUCAUGUGAAGUUUGUUCCAUGUGAAGUUUAUUUUUCUUCAAUCAGUUUCUCUCUUUCCUUCUCUUUCUGUCCUUCCUUGCCUGUUUCAUGCGAGCAUCUUACCUAGAGCGUCUGUGAUGGUCCUGUAGGCUUCCAAGGCGAUCGGGCAGUGUCAGUCUUCAGCCACUAAGCUGAGAAGAUCUGGGAAGGAGUCAGAGAGCCUUGGGCCAGAGUUCCAGGGGCUCUGGAAGUGGCUGCCAGCAGGCAAGAAGAACCUCUCAGGUGGUUACACAUCCUCCUGCUCUCCUUUCCAAGCUAGCUGCUGCUGAAGAAGAACUAGAGGCAAAGCUGAGUGCCCUGGUGGAGGGGAGGACAGCUGCUUGCACUCAGAAGCCUGCACAGAUACAGAGAGGUCAGCCACCAUGGGAGUAGGGAUGAGAAAUUCUGUCCUGCCAAAACCCCCACCAACCCAAAGACAAAAGGAAAAGUUUGGCUGCCACGAGGAAGGACAGAUAUGCUGAGAAAUUCCAUCCCCAAGACCCAGGAGCAAAAAACUUGCCUGAGACAGAGACUAGCCCUGAAGAAAUGGAAUACCAUGCCUCUGUCAGAGGCAGGUGAACCAGAGCAACUCCAUCUUGAAUAGGAACUGGGUAAAAUGAGGCUGAGACCUACUGGGUGCAUUCUCAGAUGGUUAAGGCAUUCUAAGUCACAGGAUGAAAUAGAAGGUCGGCACAAGAUACAGGUCAUAAAGACCUUGCUGAUGAAACAGGUUUUGUAGCAGGACAAGCCGCAGACACAACCCCUCAGACACUGAGUUAAAGAAGAAAGGGCUUUAUUCAGCCAGGAGCUUCAGCAAGACUCACGUCUCCAACAACCGAGCUCUCUGAGUCAGCAAUUCCUGUCCCUUUUAAGAGCUCACAAUUCUAAGCGGGUCUGCAUGAGAGGGUCGUGAUUGAUUGAGCAAGCAGAGGGUACGUGACUGGGGGCUGCAUGCACCGGUAAUUAGAAUGGAACAGGACAGGGAUUUUCACAGUGCUUUUCUAUACAAUAGCUGUAAUCUAUAGAUAACAUAACCAAUUAGGUCAGGGGUCAAUCUUUAACAACCAGGCCCAGUGUGUGGCACUGGGCUGUCUUUUAGAAAUGAAAUGUGGAUUUCAUUUCUGCCUUUUAGUUUUUACUUCUUCUUUCUUUGGAGGCAGAAAUUGGGCAUAAGACAAUAUGAAGGGUGGUCUCCUCCCUUAGUUUCAGUAAAGAAGCCGGCCAAAACCCACCAAAACCAAGAUGGUGAAGAGAGUGACCUCUGGUCGUCCUCACUGCUACACUCCCACCAGCGCCAUGACAGUUUACAAAUGCCAUGGCAACGUCAGGAAAUUACGCUAUAUGGUCUAAAAAGAGGAGGCAUGAAUAAUCCACCCCUUGUUUAGCAUGUCAUCAAGAAACAACCAUAAAAAUGGUCAACCAGCCACCCUCAGGGCUGCUUUGUCUAUGGAAAGGCCAUUAUUUUAUUUCUUUAUUUUCCUAAUAAACUUG
RNAcentral lists this long non-coding RNA (1900 nucleotides) under Homo sapiens (human). RNAcentral's name for it is "HSALNT0126481". Lineage: Eukaryota; Metazoa; Chordata; Mammalia; Primates; Hominidae. The record is from RNAcentral.